AGACAUCGCUGCGGCCGGGAUAGGGCGCCGCCGUUCUGGCCGGCUUUCUCGGUGCCCUGGAGGACCUGGCCGGCUCCGCGGGAAGCUGUACUCAGAGCGCGCGGCCGCCCUCUGGCAGGGAGGAGUUCGUUGCACUUUUGAGGGUUCUUCACGAAGACAUCCAAUACAUAGAAAACAAGUAACAGCAACAGUAACGAAUUUUUAAAUAUUAAAAUUGCUGGGGAACACGACGGAUCCUGCAGCUGCUCGGCUGUCCCGGUCGUCAGUGACGCUAGGGCUCCGCACCGUACCCUGCAUACCGUAGGUGCUCACGAAACGUUCGUGAGUUCCCUGCUCUGAGGAAACAAGCUUAAAAACUCAGAAUCUAAGGUGUGAGUCUCCGCAAACCUGCUUGUUGGGCAGCGUCCCCCGCCCGGGCUAGCCCUGCACGCCCCACCCCGGAGCCACGCUUCUCCAGCCGGGACCCCUGCCUCCUUCCAGGCUAUUCUCGGAACCGCAGCCAGAGGGAAUUUUUUUUUCCUUUCCUGAAACGUAGAGCAGAUCUGGUUACUCUUCUGCACAACGCCCUAAAAUCUAGGGCCCUUCCCAUCCCUCAGAAUUUACAUCUAAUUCUCAGCUCCCCUCCGGCUUGCUGUAGCCAUCCUGGCUUUUGUUUAGCACAGCACUUACUGUUAGUGACAUUAUAUUGUAUAUUAUUAACAUAUUUGUGUUUUACAUCCCUCACUAGACCCCCAGGAAAGAGGCUUUGAUGUGUUGCCUGCUGCAAGGCUGGCUGCAUAAUUUGUGGAGCUCAGAGAAAAGUGCGGAGCUUCCUUGUUCAAAAAACAGAAAGAAAGUGCCUCUGAGGUCAUAAAAUAUAAAACUUUCUCUUUCCUCUCAGUUUCUCUCUUUUCAUAGUGUUUUUAUGUGUUAUUUAAUAUCAUUCCAAGAAAAAUUUAGAUUUAAAUUGUUAGCAUGAAGUUCACCAUCCAUCUUUACGUUGUGCAAUGCCAGUUUUAAAUACUAAUAUAAGUGCACUGAUCUCAUAUGUGGAAUCACAGAAAUUAUGCAAUUUGUACUUCAUAGCUUAUACAUGCAUAUAGAUUUUGUUUUUACCAGAACCACGCUGGUAAAAACAGAUGCUGCACAAAGUGAACUUGCCCGUUUUCAUCGCACUUUACGUGCACGAAUUCUACCUCUACUCUCGACCUGGGACUCACCGAUGCGUAAGGAAGGACUGAAAAGCAAAAGAACUAUGGACUGGCCUUUUGGCAUGAUCAGGUGUCUAAUAUAAAGAAGUGCAUGAAUAAGAAAAUAUAUGAUAUGAGUGAUGGUUAAUACUGACUGUCAACUUGAUUGGAUUGAAGGAUGCAAAGUAUUGAUCCUGGGUGUGUCUGUGAGGGUGUUGCCAAAGGAGAUUAACAUUUGAGUCAGUGGGCUGGGAAAGUUCGACCCACUGUUAAUCUAGAUGGACACCAUCUAAUCAGAUGCCAGUGCAGCUAGAAAUGUAAAGCAGACAGAAAAAUGCGAAAAGAGAGACUGGCCUAGCCUGCCAGCCUACAUCUUUCUCCCACGCUGGAUGCUUCCUGCCCUCGAACAUCAGACUCCAAGUUCUUCAGUUUGGGACUUGGACUGGCUCUCCUUGUUCCUCAGCUUGAAGACUGCCCAUUGUGGGACUUGUGAUCAUGUGCCAUGAUAAAUAAGCCAGUUUGAGUCACUUGGUCUAAUAUCGAGACCACGAACAUAUUGAUCACAGAAUGUGUUAGGUAAGCAUGUUGUUGACUGAAGUGUAAGUAAGGUGCUCACCUUAAAUGCAUGUGCCAACAUCAGCAUCUUCAGAAGAGUCUCUUUCCCUUUGGGACAUCGAGGUGACUGACAGUUAAACAAGCCGUAUUUGGAGUAGGUGUACAAUCAGCCUCCUUCCAGUUCUCCUUGGCACUUUCCAGUUCACAAAGGACACUUCACUCCUUUUUGGUUUUUUUGAGACAGGGUCUCACUCUGUCACCCAGGCUAGAGUACGGUGGUGAGAUCACCCCUCACUGCAACCUCCGUCUCCUGGGCUCAAGUGAUCCUCCCACCUCAGCCUCCCAAGUAGCUGGUACCACAGGUGCAUGCCACCACACCUGGCUGAUUUUUGUAUUUUGUGUAGAAGGGGGUAUUGCCCUAUCGCCUAGGCUGGAAGGCUGUUAAGAGGAGAACUGAGCAAUGAGGAUCCCAUCCUGGACUUCGCAGACUUGCUGUGCUUUUGAAUGCUUCUCUCACGGUCAGAGCCUGCACUGGAAAAGAUGGCAUUUGGGACAACACACCUGGCUGCUGCCCCAGGAAGAAAGUAGUGAACACUGGAGGACUGUCAGCCCUGUCAGUUUCUGGAAAUGUGCCCUGAGUUUAAGUUCUGGUUUCAGAUUAUGAGGAGCAAAAUUACUGAGUAGGCCUCCUCCUAGAACAGGAAGCUCUUCCCGCUGUGGGCCAGUGGCUCUGACAUAUCACAGAGCCUGCUCUGAUGAAGGCAGCAGGAAUGAUUUCAAAACAAGCAAAACCAAAGAAAACUGUUUGACAAUGGAAGUAAUAGAGGCUCAUUUUAGAAAACAUAGACAUAAAGAAAAAAAGAAGAAUCUUCCAUAACCCACAGAUUAUAACUACUUACAUACCUUCCAGGCUUUAUUUCUCUUUUUUAAAAAACAAAUGUUAAAGUGGAAUUUACCUAUAAAAAAGAUACAGGUCCUAAGAGCACAGCUUGGCUUGAUCAAUUUUCUCAAGUUGAAUGCACCUGUGCAAUCAGUGCCAGGCUGAACACACAGCCUCAGCAGCGCCUGGAAGCUUUUCCAAGCCUCCUUAUUGUCAUCCCUCCCUCCCCAGGGGUAGCUGCGAUCACUGUAGCUUUGGUCUGAACUAUAUAUAAAUGCAAUCAUGCCACGUUAUGUUUCUGAGACUCACCCACACCCUGGCAAGCCAUUGCAGUUUGUUUAUUCUCAAUGUUCUACAAGCAGCAGUCCCCAAGCUUUUUGGCACCGGGGACCAGUCUCAUGGAGGACGAUUUUUCCGCAGACCAGGUGGGGAUGGUUUUGGAAUGAUUCAAGCACAUUCCAUUUAUUGUGCACUUUAUUUCUAUUACUGUUGCAUUGUAAUAUAUAAUGAAAUAAUUAUAUAACUCACCAUAAUGUAGAAUCAGUGGGAACCCUGAGCUUGUUUUCCCCCAUCUAGAUGGUUUCAUCUAGGGGUGGGGGGAUGAAAGACAGUGACAGAUUAUCAGGUAUUAGAUUCUCAUAAGAAGCUUGCAACCUGGAUUCUUCGCAUGCUUAGUUCACAGUAGGGUUCACGCUCCUAUGAGAAUCUAAUGCUGCCACAGAACUGACAGGAGGCAGAGCUCAGAUGGUAAUGCUCACUUGCCCACUGCUCACCUCCUGCUGUGCAGCCCUGUUCCUUACAGGCCAUGGACUGGUACCACACAACUAUUUGGCCAUAGCUACAAAAGCUGAUUACAGGUGUAAUUACAGAUUACAUCACUAUUACAUAGCCUACAAAGAGGUUUAAUUGGACUUAUAAGUCCACAUGACUAGGGAAGCUUCACAAUCAUGGCGGAAGGCAAGGAGGAGCAAGUCACAUCUUACAUGGAGGGCAGCAGGCAAAGAGAGAGCUUGUGCAGGGAGACUCAUUUUUCAAAACCAUCAGAUCUUGUGAGACUUAUUCACUAUCAUAAGAACAGUGUGGGAAUUACAAAUUACAUAGCUAUGUAGUUACAAAUUACAUAGCUAAUUACACCUGUAAUCAACUUUUGUAGCUAUGGCCAAAUAGUUUUCCCAAGUGGUUGCACCAAUUUACACUCCCACCAACAGUACAUGAUCCUGCUGGCAGCUCAAUCUACAUUCUUAUUAACUGCAUUAGUCCAUUUUCACGUUGCUGAUAAAGACAUACCUGAGACUGGGCAAUUUACAAAAGAAAGAGGUUUAAUUGGACUCACAGUGUGUGACUGGGGAAGCCUCACAAUCAUGGUGGAAGGCAAGGAGGAGCAAGUCACGUCUUAUGUGGAUGGCAGCAGGCAAAGAGAGAGCUUGUGCAGGGAGACUACCAUUUUUCAAAACCAUCAGAUCUUGUGAGACUUAUUCACUCUCAUGGAACAGCAUGGGAAAGACCUGCCCCCACAAUUCAAUUACCUCGCACCAGGUACCUCCCACAACACAUGGGAAUUCAAGAUGAGAUUUGGGUGGGGACACAGCCAAACCAUAUCAUCGACCCUUUGUUUUUCCCCAUCUUUUUCAUUUUAGCCAUUCUUUUCAUGUGUAUUAGACAUUUGGAUAGCCUCAUUUGUGAAAUGUCUCAUUUUUUCUACUAGGCUUUUCAUCUCUUUAUUGAUCUAAAACAUUUUUAAUAUAUUAGACAUAUGUAUUGCAAAUCUCUUCUUCUACUGUGGAAGUGGCUUUCAUUUCUAUUCAUUUCAGACUGUUUUAAUGCUAUCUUAUUUCUUUCUUUAUGAUUCAGCACUCUUUGUGUCCUGCUUAAGAACUCUUUGUCUAUUUCAUGUUCAUUAAAAUGUGAUUUUUUUCUACAGUCUUCAUUAUUUUUCCUUUAACAUUUAAAUUUAUAAUAAAUCUGGGUGUGAUUUUUA
This 4582-nucleotide long non-coding RNA is filed under the name Homo sapiens (human). Its description in RNAcentral is "COPS8 divergent transcript, transcript variant 1 (COPS8-DT)". Lineage: Eukaryota; Metazoa; Chordata; Mammalia; Primates; Hominidae. The record is from RNAcentral.